RNAcentral lists this unclassified non-coding RNA (3374 nucleotides) under Hevea brasiliensis (rubber tree). The record is from RNAcentral. Lineage: Eukaryota; Viridiplantae; Streptophyta; Magnoliopsida; Malpighiales; Euphorbiaceae.
GUUUGCGGCUGCUUAGCCUGUGUUCCACACUUCCCUUGGCGUUCUGGAAGAACUGGCAAUACUAUUUAGUAUUUACUCUCUCCUUUGUCCUAAACCAACAAAACCCAAAACUUUUCUCUAAUGAUCAUUAUGACGAUCUUACCCUGAAAUUACACCUCUGCCACUGGGCAUUUCAAUCUCUUGAAUCCAAUUGUUGUUUUCUCUUGUCAAAUUCUCUACUUGAAUCUGUUAGUCACUGUAAUUGGUGUCAUCGGGGAGUGUUUAUGGUGAUGGCGGAGAGUGAGGGUGGGGAUGAUCAGAAGGAGGUGAAUAGUGGUCCCAAGUCCCCCUGGAAGACUCCGGUGGUGGCCGAUGCUCCUGUGAUGGGCGCAGAGUCUUGGCCUGCUCUUGCCGACGCCCAUCACCAACAACGCUCCAAGAGUAUUGAUUCUGCUACAAAGCCGACUUCUGUUCCGUCUCCAACGCAGGGAUCAGUUGGGCAACACAAGUCAAAUGGUUCUGGAAACCCUAAUUCUUCACAUAAGUAUUCAUCAUCAAGACAUCAAAAAUUAGGCUCUAAGCGCAACCCAAAUGUUGCACCUCCUUUCCCUGUACCCUUUCCUUACCAGCAACCGACUUUUCCACCUGUUUUUCAUGCUAUGGUGCCUCCACCUCACAUUGCUGUUUCUGGAUAUGCUUACCAGCCUGGCCUUGCUCCUUUUCCUAGCAUUGAAACUCAUUUGGUAAAGUCUGGAUCUGAUUCUUCUACUGUCCAACCUUUUGUUCCGUCUGUUAAUGUUCAGACUCCACCAAGAGGGGAUCCCAAUGCUUUUGCUGUCAAUUUUUCAAAUAGAAGACCCAGUGUGCCAGAACCUGGUAGCCAUUUGAAUUAUGCAUGGCAUCAACGAGCAUUUAGCCCCAGAGAUAACAUGGCUUUGCAACAGGGUAUGGGACCAAGGCCUCUAGUCAGGCCUCCCUUAUUUGCUCCUGCUCCAGGCUUCAUGGUUGCUCCAACCUUCCCUGGACCACCUAUAUGCUAUGUUCCUGUUGCACCUACAGGCUCUUUCAGGGGAGGCCACCCUCCACGUUUUAUGCCAUAUCCUACUAGUCCAGGGGCUCCUCUCCUCCCCCAAGAAACACCGUCUUUGAGAGAGAGCAUAAUAAGACAAAUAGAUUAUUAUUUCAGUGAUGAAAAUCUGAAGACUGAUCAUUACCUAAUAUCCUUGAUGGAUGGCCAAGGAUGGGUUCCUAUUUCCACCAUUGCUGACUUUAACAGGGUUAAGAAAAUGACUACAGAUAUACUGUUUAUCCUUGAUGCACUACAAAGUUCAAGUACAGUGGAAGUUCAGGGUGACAAGAUUCGGAGACGUGAUGAGUGGUUAAAGUGGAUUCCAGCUUCUGCAGAAUAUACAUCAUCAUCAAAAACUCAGACUUCUGAGUCCCAACUUGUAAAUCCUGCUAAUGAAGACAAUGCAAGGGGUAUCUCAAAACAAAAUGUGGACUUUUCAUUACAUAAUAAUGCAGGUCUUGCGGAGCACACAUUGUCAAAUGGAGAGGCUCCGGAAAUAAUACAUAUAGGUACAAAGGAAGAUGAAAGUGCAUCUGUUCAUGCUGUAAAACAGGCAAUGGGUGGUGCCAAUGCAGAUCCAAAUGAAAAGUCAGUUGCUGACUUGAACAUUAAGCUUUCUUAUCUUGACAGCAGCUGCAAUGCUGCAUAUGUAGCCCAUUCUGAUGGAACUGAGCCUGCAGUUUCAAAGUAUCAUGCAGCUGAUGGCAUGGGAAUUUCAUUACAUUUGGCUUCGCAAAAUCUUGGUGAUCUGUCUAGUGAUUUUGCAAACACAUUUAUGCUUGAUGAAGAGCUGGAGCUUGAGCAGAAAACACAGAAGAGCGAUUGUGUGUGUCCAGUUAGAAGGAUUGAUGAUGAAGAAGAUGAGAUAUUGGUCAAUGAUCAGGAUGUUCAAAGACUUGUGAUUGUCACCCAGAAUAGCAGACCAAGUGAAGGAUUCAAAACUGGUGGUAAAGAUGCAAAAUCCAUUUCCAAGGAGCUUGCUUCUGCAAUUAAUGAUGGUCUUUAUUUCUAUGAACAGGAGCUUAAAACUAAGCGAUCUAAUCGCAGAAAGAAUAAUUCUAGUUUUGAGAACAGAGAUGGGAACUCAAGAUUUACAAAUAGUGCUCCAGGAGUAUCACAUUCAAAGACUGGUGAAAUUCCCACUGGAUGUGGUGGCCAUGAAGAGUCUGGAAGCACUACUAAUUUAAGGAAACACAGUAAAAGUUUUUCUAAGCAGCAAUCAUCUCAUAAGCAGCGCUUCUUCUCCUGCAACUUUAGAAAUCAUGGAACCGGCCGUAAUUCUUUUGGGAUCAUAUCAGAAAGUCCACCGAGUAAUUCAGUUGGAUUUUUCUUUAGUUCUACACCUCCUGAAAAUCAUGGUCCUAGGUCAUCAAAGUUGAGUGCUUCGCCACAUAGCACUCUGUCAGGCAGUAGUCCACCAGUGGGUUCCAUGCCAAAGUCAUUUCUCCCAUUCCAGCAUCCAAGUCAUCAGUUGUUAGAAGAAAAUGGCUUUAAACAGCAGAAGUACCUGAAGUUUCAUAAGCGGUGCCUAAGCGACAGAAAGAAAAUGGGAGUUGGUUGCAGUGAGGAAAUGAAUACGCUGUAUAGGUUUUGGUCAUAUUUCCUUAGAGAUAUGUUUGUUCCUUCCAUGUAUAAUGAGUUCCGGAAAUUAGCUCUGGAAGAUGCAUCUGCUAAUUACAAUUAUGGGAUAGAGUGCCUUUUCAGGUUCUAUAGUUAUGGUUUGGAGAGCGAAUUCAGAGAGGACUUAUACAAGGAUUUUGAAGAGCUCACUCUUGAGUUCUAUCAUAAAGGCAAUAUUUAUGGCCUUGAGAAAUAUUGGGCAUUCCACCAUUAUCGUGGGCUACGUGAGCACAAAGAACCACUAAAGAAACAUCCAGAAUUGGAUAGAUUGCUCAGGCAAGAGUAUUGCAGCUUGGAGGACUUCCGCACCAAAGAGAAGAAUGUAAAAGAGGAGAGUCAUUAGCUGGUAAUAAUGCAAAUCCCUGAUGGUGACAUCCUCCCAAUUUUGAAAAUCAAUUCUGAUAAGCAGGGAGAGACUUGGCUUAUAUUUUGUUGGAUGAGAAAAUUUGGUUUUUGUAUAUUGUAUUUUGGGGGAGUUGUCAUUUGCAUUAUAUUGUAUAUUGUUUUUCUUUUUUUUUAAAAGAAAUCUAAUUUUAGCCUGAUUAUUGUUUAUUGAUAUUAUCUUUCCCGUGUUCUGUUAUUACCUGUCUCAUUUUCUGCAGUUGUCAAUAUUUGUGCCUUCUGGAACACUGAUUUGGAUACUGGAUACAGUUUUGAUGUGAUUUUUUAUUUUCAUCAAUUUGAUUCAAAUUAGGAUUCAUGCUUG